This 497-nucleotide ribosomal RNA is filed under the name uncultured bacterium. RNAcentral's name for it is "partial 16S ribosomal RNA". It matches the Rfam family "Bacterial small subunit ribosomal RNA", at positions 28 to 507 of the family's 1533-position model. The record is from RNAcentral.
GAUGAACGCUGGCGGCGUGCCUAAUACAUGCAAGUCGAGCGAACGGACGAGAAGCUUGCUUCUCUGAUGUUAGCGGCGGACGGGUGAGUAACACGUGGAUAACCUACCUAUAAGACUGGGAUAAAUUCGGGAAACCGGAUCUAAUACCGGAUGAUAUUUUGAACCGCAUGGUUCAAAAGUGAAAGACGGUCUUGCUGUCACUUAUAGAUGGAUCCGCGCUGCAUUAGCUAGUUGGUAAGGUAACGGCUUACCAAGGCAACGAUGCAUAGCCGACCUGAGAGGGUGAUCAGCCACACUGGAACUGAGACACGGUCCAGACUCCUACGGGAGGCAGCAGUGGGGAAUCUUCCGCAAUGGGCGAAAGCCUGACGCAGCAACGCCGCGUGAGUGAUGAAGGUCUUCGGAUUGUAAAACUCUGUUAUUAGGGAAGAACAUAUGUGUAAGUAACCGUGCACAUCUUGACGGUACCUAAUCAGAAAGCCACGGCUAACUACGUG